UUAAGCGACUAAGCGUACACGGUGGAUGCCCUGGCAGUCAGAGGCGAUGAAGGACGUGCUAAUCUGCGAUAAGCGUCGGUAAGGUGAUAUGAACCGUUAUAACCGGCGAUUUCCGAAUGGGGAAACCCAGUGUGAUUCGUCACACUAUCAUUAACUGAAUCCAUAGGUUAAUGAGGCGAACCGGGGGAACUGAAACAUCUAAGUACCCCGAGGAAAAGAAAUCAACCGAGAUUCCCCCAGUAGCGGCGAGCGAACGGGGAGCAGCCCAGAGCCUGAAUCAGUGUGUGUGUUAGUGGAAGCGUCUGGAAAGGCGUGCGAUACAGGGUGACAGCCCCGUACACAAAAAUGCACAUGCUGUGAGCUCGAUGAGUAGGGCGGGACACGUGGUAUCCUGUCUGAAUAUGGGGGGACCAUCCUCCAAGGCUAAAUACUCCUGACUGACCGAUAGUGAACCAGUACCGUGAGGGAAAGGCGAAAAGAACCCCGGCGAGGGGAGUGAAAAAGAACCUGAAACCGUGUACGUACAAGCAGUGGGAGCACAGAGCAAUCUGUGUGACUGCGUACCUUUUGUAUAAUGGGUCAGCGACUUAUAUUCUGUAGCAAGGUUAACCGAAUAGGGGAGCCGAAGGGAAACCGAGUCUUAACUGGGCGUUAAGUUGCAGGGUAUAGACCCGAAACCCGGUGAUCUAGCCAUGGGCAGGUUGAAGGUUGGGUAACACUAACUGGAGGACCGAACCGACUAAUGUUGAAAAAUUAGCGGAUGACUUGUGGCUGGGGGUGAAAGGCCAAUCAAACCGGGAGAUAGCUGGUUCUCCCCGAAAGCUAUUUAGGUAGCGCCUCGUGAAUUCAUCUCCGGGGGUAGAGCACUGUUUCGGCAAGGGGGUCAUCCCGACUUACCAACCCGAUGCAAACUGCGAAUACCGGAGAAUGUUAUCACGGGAGACACACGGCGGGUGCUAACGUCCGUCGUGAAGAGGGAAACAACCCAGACCGCCAGCUAAGGUCCCAAAGUCAUGGUUAAGUGGGAAACGAUGUGGGAAGGCCCAGACAGCCAGGAUGUUGGCUUAGAAGCAGCCAUCAUUUAAAGAAAGCGUAAUAGCUCACUGGUCGAGUCGGCCUGCGCGGAAGAUGUAACGGGGCUAAACCAUGCACCGAAGCUGCGGCAGCGACGCUUAUGCGUUGUUGGGUAGGGGAGCGUUCUGUAAGCCUGCGAAGGUGUGCUGUGAGGCAUGCUGGAGGUAUCAGAAGUGCGAAUGCUGACAUAAGUAACGAUAAAGCGGGUGAAAAGCCCGCUCGCCGGAAGACCAAGGGUUCCUGUCCAACGUUAAUCGGGGCAGGGUGAGUCGACCCCUAAGGCGAGGCCGAAAGGCGUAGUCGAUGGGAAACAGGUUAAUAUUCCUGUACUUGGUGUUACUGCGAAGGGGGGACGGAGAAGGCUAUGUUGGCCGGGCGACGGUUGUCCCGGUUUAAGCGUGUAGGCUGGUUUUCCAGGCAAAUCCGGAAAAUCAAGGCUGAGGCGUGAUGACGAGGCACUACGGUGCUGAAGCAACAAAUGCCCUGCUUCCAGGAAAAGCCUCUAAGCAUCAGGUAACAUCAAAUCGUACCCCAAACCGACACAGGUGGUCAGGUAGAGAAUACCAAGGCGCUUGAGAGAACUCGGGUGAAGGAACUAGGCAAAAUGGUGCCGUAACUUCGGGAGAAGGCACGCUGAUAUGUAGGUGAAGCGACUUGCUCGUGGAGCUGAAAUCAGUCGAAGAUACCAGCUGGCUGCAACUGUUUAUUAAAAACACAGCACUGUGCAAACACGAAAGUGGACGUAUACGGUGUGACGCCUGCCCGGUGCCGGAAGGUUAAUUGAUGGGGUCAGCGCAAGCGAAGCUCUUGAUCGAAGCCCCGGUAAACGGCGGCCGUAACUAUAACGGUCCUAAGGUAGCGAAAUUCCUUGUCGGGUAAGUUCCGACCUGCACGAAUGGCGUAAUGAUGGCCAGGCUGUCUCCACCCGAGACUCAGUGAAAUUGAACUCGCUGUGAAGAUGCAGUGUACCCGCGGCAAGACGGAAAGACCCCGUGAACCUUUACUAUAGCUUGACACUGAACAUUGAGCCUUGAUGUGUAGGAUAGGUGGGAGGCUUUGAAGUGUGGACGCCAGUCUGCAUGGAGCCGACCUUGAAAUACCACCCUUUAAUGUUUGAUGUUCUAACGUUGACCCGUGAUCCGGGUUGCGGACAGUGUCUGGUGGGUAGUUUGACUGGGGCGGUCUCCUCCUAAAGAGUAACGGAGGAGCACGAAGGUUGGCUAAUCCUGGUCGGACAUCAGGAGGUUAGUGCAAUGGCAUAAGCCAGCUUGACUGCGAGCGUGACGGCGCGAGCAGGUGCGAAAGCAGGUCAUAGUGAUCCGGUGGUUCUGAAUGGAAGGGCCAUCGCUCAACGGAUAAAAGGUACUCCGGGGAUAACAGGCUGAUACCGCCCAAGAGUUCAUAUCGACGGCGGUGUUUGGCACCUCGAUGUCGGCUCAUCACAUCCUGGGGCUGAAGUAGGUCCCAAGGGUAUGGCUGUUCGCCAUUUAAAGUGGUACGCGAGCUGGGUUUAGAACGUCGUGAGACAGUUCGGUCCCUAUCUGCCGUGGGCGCUGGAGAACUGAGGGGGGCUGCUCCUAGUACGAGAGGACCGGAGUGGACGCAUCACUGGUGUUCGGGUUGUCAUGCCAAUGGCACUGCCCGGUAGCUAAAUGCGGAAGAGAUAAGUGCUGAAAGCAUCUAAGCACGAAACUUGCCCCGAGAUGAGUUCUCCCUGACUCCUUGAGAGUCCUGAAGGAACGUUGAAGACGACGACGUUGAUAGGCCGGGUGUGUAAGCGCAGCGAUGCGUUGAGCUAACCGGUACUAAUGAACCGUGAGGCUUAACCU
This 2903-nucleotide ribosomal RNA is filed under the name Escherichia coli. RNAcentral's name for it is "23S ribosomal RNA". It matches the Rfam family "Bacterial large subunit ribosomal RNA". Lineage: Bacteria; Pseudomonadati; Pseudomonadota; Gammaproteobacteria; Enterobacterales; Enterobacteriaceae. The record is from RNAcentral.